CCUGUUUCUCCUCUUGACAUAUCUUCUCUUGUCAAAAAAUUCUCCCUCUAUUUCUCGUUUUGUCCGUCGCUCGUCCUAAACCCUCCACCCACCUUUCGGUGACGGAAGAGCUGAGUCUUCACACAAAGCAUCCGCCACACCGAACUAGGAGUUGCUCCGUUCCAUAUUGUCAGAAUCUCGUUUUGCAGCGCACUCAUUGUGGGGACUCUGAAGGAUGACGGCGACAAAACAAGCUAGAGCAGCAGGGUUUUUACCUCAGAUGCUCCUUUUGGCACUUCAGGGAAUACUUAACCGGUCCAUUUCUUCCACAUAGGGCUCACUGAUCCCCCUUCCUCCCUGUAUUUUGCCUGAUCCGGAGAUCUUGUCUUGCAUUGGUGCGGAUGAGCUUGCAGUUGUGAACUGAUUUCUACAGCCCUGUGUUUGAUCUUUCGACCGCUAGUACUACCCGGUUAAUUAGACUCUAUGAACCACCUUUAUUCCUACCGAUACUUUUUUUUGUACUCUUUAUCUCUGAACCCUCCACGGAGAAUCUUUUCCAAACUCAAAGAACGCAGAGGUAUCGAAAACUGUCAUCUAUCGGAAACACUACUGGCAUUGAUUGCAGGGAGGCCUGUCUGAGAUCAUUGCUCUGGAGCUGCUUUCAUGCCAUUCUCUUUGCCUGACUUCCCUUGAGCUGGGAAAUAAUUUAGCUAAACAUCGAGCGGUCCUGCACCCGAGGCCAAAGCAUCAGAUUGCUGUAGCUUCGCAGAAGUCCCGUCAAACUGCGAAACAAAUCAACGCAUCAAUCAUUUCAAACACUGCUUAUACAGUACAUGUUAGGACCGAAAUUCGUCCUCGACAUCCUUCUAUGGACAAGAUUUUCUUUUCAAAUCGUUUCCUUCAAAAACCCAUAGGUCCUUCCGCAUCCUGCCACAAUCUGACUUUGCCAAGAUUAAACAAAUGAACAUUUCCUUUUGCCGCCGAAGACAACGUUAUCGAAGUGGGCCAUGGCCAUGCACAAGACGAAUAACUCCUUUAAAUUCCAGUCUUGGGUGCCUAAAUGCAUAAUGCUGAUAUUAUUAAGCGUCCCUUGCUUCGGAUUGUUAUAUCUGCUGAUAUCCCUUGAGGAGUUUCGGGCACAAACAAACAGGGUGUUUAAAUUCCCUUCCACAUUUAAAACGCAGCCAAACGCAAG
Molecule: small RNA, 1174 nt
Filed under: Histoplasma ohiense
Lineage: Eukaryota; Fungi; Ascomycota; Eurotiomycetes; Onygenales; Ajellomycetaceae
Description: hypothetical lncRNA
Source: RNAcentral